RNAcentral lists this ribosomal RNA (1372 nucleotides) under uncultured bacterium. Its description in RNAcentral is "bacterial SSU rRNA". It matches the Rfam family "Bacterial small subunit ribosomal RNA", at positions 28 to 1381 of the family's 1533-position model. The record is from RNAcentral.
GAUGAACGCUGGCGGCGUGCCUAAUACAUGCAAGUCGAGCGAACGGACGAGAAGCUUGCUUCUCUGAUGUUAGCGGCGGACGGGUGAGUAACACGUGGAUAACCUACCCAUAAGACUGGGAUAACUUCGGGAAACCGGGGCUAAUACCGGAUAAUAUUUUGAACCGCAUGGUUCAAAAGUGAAAGACGGUCUUGCUGUCACUUAUGGAUGGAUCCGCGCUGCAUUAGCUAGUUGGUAAGGUAACGGCUUACCAAGGCAACGAUGCAUAGCCGACCUGAGAGGGUGAUCGGCCACACUGGAACUGAGACACGGUCCAGACUCCUACGGGAGGCAGCAGUAGGGAAUCUUCCGCAAUGGGCGAAAGCCUGACGGAGCAACGCCGCGUGAGUGAUGAAGGUCUUCGGAUCGUAAAACUCUGUUAUUAGGGAAGAACAUAUGUGUAAGUAACUGUGCACAUCUUGACGGUACCUAAUCAGAAAGCCACGGCUAACUACGUGCCAGCAGCCGCGGUAAUACGUAGGUGGCAAGCGUUAUCCGGAAAUAUUGGGCGUAAAGCGCGCGUAGGCGGUUUUUUAAGUCUGAUGUGAAAGCCCACGGCUCAACCGUGGAGGGUCAUUGGAAACUGGAAAACUUGAGUGCAGAAGAGGAAAGUGGAAUUCCAUGUGUAGCGGUGAAAUGCGCAGAGAUAUGGAGGAACACCAGUGGCGAAGGCGACUUUCUGGUCUGUAACUGACGCUGAUGUGCGAAAGCGUGGGGAUCAAACAGGAUUAGAUACCCUGGUAGUCCACGCCGUAAACGAUGAGUGCUAAGUGUUAGGGGGUUUCCGCCCCUUAGUGCUGCAGCUAACGCAUUAAGCACUCCGCCUGGGGAGUACGACCGCAAGGUUGAAACUCAAAGGAAUUGACGGGGACCCGCACAAGCGGUGGAGCAUGUGGUUUAAUUCGAAGCAACGCGAAGAACCUUACCAAAUCUUGACAUCCUUUGACAACUCUAGAGAUAGAGCCUUCCCCUUCGGGGGACAAAGUGACAGGUGGUGCAUGGUUGUCGUCAGCUCGUGUCGUGAGAUGUUGGGUUAAGUCCCGCAACGAGCGCAACCCUUAAGCUUAGUUGCCAUCAUUAAGUUGGGCACUCUAAGUUGACUGCCGGUGACAAACCGGAGGAAGGUGGGGAUGACGUCAAAUCAUCAUGCCCCUUAUGAUUUGGGCUACACACGUGCUACAAUGGACAAUACAAAGGGCAGCGAAACCGCGAGGUCAAGCAAAUCCCAUAAAGUUGUUCUCAGUUCGGAUUGUAGUCUGCAACUCGACUACAUGAAGCUGGAAUCGCUAGUAAUCGUAGAUCAGCAUGCUACGGUGAAUACGUUCCCGGGUCU